CGGUUGAUCCUGCCGGACNUUACUGCUAUCGGGGUGGGNNUAAGCCAUGCAAGUUGCGCGCUUNUAAGCUAUAGUAGAGGAGCAGCGUAAGGCUCAGUAAAACAUGGUUAACUUGCCCUCGAGACAGGAAUACCCCCGGGAAACUGGGGAUAAAUCCCGAUAGGCGAGAUGGCUUGGAAUGGUAUCUCGUCUAAAAAACGUUAAGACCAUGCUUCUUUUCGUUGCUCGAGGAUAGGACCAUGUCCGAUCAGGCUGUUGGCGAGGUAACGGCUCACCAAGCCUAUAACCGGUACGGGCCGUGAGAGCGGUAGCCCGGAGAUGGGUACUGAGACAAGGACCCAGGCCCUACGGGGCGCAGCAGUCGCGAAAACUCCGCAAUGCACGAAAGUGUGACGGGGCUACCCCGAGUGCCAUCCGCUGAGGAUGGCUCUUCUUUGGGAUAACUAGCCAGGGGAAUAAGGAGAGGGCAAGACUGGUGUCAGCCGCCGCGGUAAUACCAGCUCUCCGAGUGGUAGGGAUGUUUAUUGGGCUUAAAGCGUCCGUAGCCGGCUUAGCAAGUCUCCUGUUAAAUUCAGCGACCUAAUCGUUGACCCGCGGGAGAUACUACUAAGCUAGGAGGCGGGAGAGGUCGACGGUACUUCUGGGGUAGGGGUGAAAUCCUAUAAUCCCGGGAGGACCACCAGUGGCGAAGGCUGUCGACUAGAACGCGCUCGACGGUGAGGGACGAAAGCUGGGGGAGCGAACCGGAUUAGAUACCCGGGUAGUCCCAGCCGUAAACGAUGCGGGCUAGGUGUUGGGAUGGCUACGUGCCAUUUCAGUGCCGCAGGGAAGCCAUUAAGCCCGCCGCCUGGGGAGUACGGCCGCAAGGCUGAAACUUAAAGGAAUUGGCGGGGGAGCAC
Molecule: ribosomal RNA, 899 nt
Filed under: uncultured archaeon
Lineage: Archaea
Description: bacterial SSU rRNA
Rfam family: Archaeal small subunit ribosomal RNA
Source: RNAcentral